This 82-nucleotide transfer RNA is filed under the name Pigmentiphaga litoralis. It matches the Rfam family "tRNA". From Rfam's summary of the family: Transfer RNA (tRNA) molecules are approximately 80 nucleotides in length. Lineage: Bacteria; Pseudomonadati; Pseudomonadota; Betaproteobacteria; Burkholderiales; Alcaligenaceae. The record is from Rfam by way of RNAcentral. RNAcentral also lists the same sequence under 4 other names.
GCCCGGGUGGUGAAAUUGGUAGACGCAGGGGACUCAAAAUCCCCCGCCGCGAGGCGUGCCGGUUCGAUUCCGGCCCCGGGCA